GACGAGCCUCACAAACGUUAUUCGGAAUUACUGGGCUUAAAGGGUGCGUAGGCGGCGCGGUAAGUCGGGUGUGAAAUCUUGGAGCUUAACUCCGAAACUGCAUUCGAUACUGCCGUGCUUGAGGACUGGAGAGGAGACUGGAAUUUACGGUGUAGCGGUGAAAUGCGUAGAUAUCGUAAGGAAGACCAGUGGCGAAGGCGGGUCUCUGGACAGUUCCUGACGCUGAGGCACGAAGGUCAGGGGAGCAAACGGG
This 253-nucleotide ribosomal RNA is filed under the name uncultured bacterium. Its description in RNAcentral is "partial 16S ribosomal RNA". It matches the Rfam family "Bacterial small subunit ribosomal RNA", at positions 524 to 776 of the family's 1533-position model. The record is from RNAcentral.